AAAAGUGCAUGAAGUUAGAUAUAACUAUCUAGAGUAGGGCUAUUUUAUUCUUAUAAGUAUAGAAUUUUUUAUAUUGAUAAGUUGUUUAUAACGAAGGAGCUUUCGAAUUGACGAUUCAUAUCAUUAAAUAUGAUCUAAAAUAUUUGAAACUUAGAGAAAGUAAAUUUUGUAAUUUUUUGAAAUUAUAAUAAAACCAUCAAGUGGAUAUAAAAUGAAUGGUUAAAAUUGAACAACAUCCUAAAAAUAGAUGAUCGGAUCCUUUAAUUUAAAAUCAGAGUUAUUCAUCUUCAUCUAGAUAGUGAAUAAAAUUUUUCAUCAAAAAUUCAAUCAAUUCUAAUUCUUUUAUAUCAUUAAACUAACAAGUAUUCCAUAUCAGCCAUUAAAAGUUAUCAAUUUUUAGAUCUUUUGAAUGUAAUGUAAAUGAUGCCGAAGAAUUAUGAAACUUAGUUUUAAAAAGUUAAAAAUGUUCUAAAUCAUGUUUAACGGUAUGAAUCGUCGAUUCGAAAGUUUUAUCAUCGAAAACGACAUAUGAGUAUAAUGACGAUCAUAUUCAUAAGAAUAUAGUAGCCGGACUCCUAUUAUCUAUUAUUUUAAAUUACUCUACCAACGCAUCUCCAACUACGUCCGAUUUAUGCAUAGUUGGAGAUGCAGUAGCUGGGCCUCUUGUUGGAUUUAGAUAACGUGAUUUAUUUAAGGCGAUAUAUAAAGAUACAAUCGAUCUAUUCAAAACGAUCUGUAAAGAUACUGUCAAUUCAACUAUUAGGAUAUAUAUAUUUGGACACGUUCUUGAUGGAUGGAUACGAUUUAACAUCCUUACAUUGGAUUAUAUAAAUAUAUGUAACAUACGAGAGUCUUAGUCUAAUCCUAAUUCUAAUUUCCGUAACGGUUCCAUAUCCGAGGAUAAGAAAAUAAGCUCAAUCAGAUCAUGAAUUAGGACGAAUCACAAGCAAGAAUUGCUGUUUACAAUCCCUAUCUGUAAAUCGAAAUAAUACCAGAAGAUACGAUUAUAAUUUUUCAUAAAGUUUAACACCUCUAA
RNAcentral lists this long non-coding RNA (1036 nucleotides) under Ananas comosus (pineapple). RNAcentral's name for it is "long non-coding RNA (ACOM_LNC010745)". Lineage: Eukaryota; Viridiplantae; Streptophyta; Magnoliopsida; Poales; Bromeliaceae. The record is from RNAcentral.